Molecule: ribosomal RNA, 272 nt
Filed under: uncultured bacterium
Lineage: Bacteria
Description: partial 16S ribosomal RNA
Rfam family: Bacterial small subunit ribosomal RNA
Source: RNAcentral
UACGGAGGGUGCGAGCGUUGUUCGGAUUUAUUGGGCGUAAAGCGCGUGUAGGCGGUUUUAUAAGUCUGAUGUGAAAGCCCCGGGCUCAACCUGGGAAGUGCAUUGGAUACUGUAAGACUUGAAUACGGGAGAGGGCAGUGGAAUUCCUGGUGUAGGAGUGAAAUCCGUAGAUAUCAGGAGGAACACCGGUGGCGAAGGCGGCUGCCUGGACCGAUAUUGACGCUGAGACGCGAAAGCGUGGGUAGCAAACAGGAUUAGAACCCGUACCGUCC